Molecule: transfer RNA, 92 nt
Filed under: Pigmentiphaga aceris
Lineage: Bacteria; Pseudomonadati; Pseudomonadota; Betaproteobacteria; Burkholderiales; Alcaligenaceae
Description: tRNA-Ser
Rfam family: tRNA
About the family: Transfer RNA (tRNA) molecules are approximately 80 nucleotides in length.
Source: RNAcentral
GGAGACGUGCCCGAGUGGCCGAAGGGGCUCCCCUGCUAAGGGAGUAUGUGGCUAAAACUGCAUCGAGAGUUCGAAUCUCUCCGUCUCCGCCA